CGGACGGGUGAGUAAUGCCUAGGAAUCUGCCUGGUAGUGGGGGACAACGUUUCGAAAGGAACGCUAAUACCGCAUACGUCCUACGGGAGAAAGCAGGGGACCUUCGGGCCUUGCGCUAUCAGAUGAGCCUAGGUCGGAUUAGCUAGUUGGUGAGGUAAUGGCUCACCAAGGCGACGAUCCGUAACUGGUCUGAGAGGAUGAUCAGUCACACUGGUAACUGAGACACGGUCCAGACUCCUACGGGAGGCAGCAGCU
Molecule: ribosomal RNA, 255 nt
Filed under: uncultured Pseudomonas sp.
Lineage: Bacteria; Pseudomonadati; Pseudomonadota; Gammaproteobacteria; Pseudomonadales; Pseudomonadaceae
Description: partial 16S ribosomal RNA
Rfam family: Bacterial small subunit ribosomal RNA
Source: RNAcentral